GUCUGGUUGAACUCAAAAAUCAGUUUAACCUGCCCACUGACAAUUUUUAAAGGCCGCGGUAUAAUGACCGUGCGAAGGUAGCAUAAUAAUUAGUUUUUUAAUUGAAAACUGGUAUGAAAGGUUGGACAAAAAGUGAACUAUCCCAAAAUCUAUAAAUUGAAUUUAACCUUUAAGUGAAAAGGCUUAAAUAAACUUAAAAGACGACAAGACCCUAUAAAACUUUCAUACAAAGAUUAAAAUUUUUUUAAUUAUAAGUUUACCAAAAAGCAUUAUUCCUUAUAUAUUUCGUUGGGGCGACGGAAGUAAAUAAAAACCUGCUUCUCUUAUUUAUACAAUUAUUUUUGUUUUAUUUUGACCCUUCAAAAGAAGAUUAAAAGAAAAAGUUACUUUAGGGAUAACAGCGUUAUUUUUUUUUAGAGUCCUUAUCAACAAAAAAGUUUGCGACCUCGAUGUUGAAUUAAAGUUUCUUUAUAAUGCAGCAGUUAUAAAAGUAGGUCUGUUCGACCUUUAAAACUUUACAUGAUUUGAGUUCAAACCGGCGUAAG
Molecule: ribosomal RNA, 545 nt
Filed under: Aqaballianassa sp. PNG-1166
Lineage: Eukaryota; Metazoa; Arthropoda; Malacostraca; Decapoda; Callianassidae
Description: partial large subunit ribosomal RNA
Rfam family: Archaeal large subunit ribosomal RNA
Source: RNAcentral